Phyllopteryx taeniolatus (common seadragon) is the source of this 5280-nucleotide RNA transcript. It is a transcript of the gene named UDP-glucuronate decarboxylase 1, with no coding region annotated. The transcript is spliced from 20 exons. NCBI's taxonomy places the organism in Eukaryota, Metazoa, Chordata, Actinopteri, Syngnathiformes, Syngnathidae. The record is from RefSeq and is a predicted model, not a curated record.
AAAAAGGCAUACUCAGGAAGAUGAUAGUUUUAUGUUCGAACAAGUUGUGUCGUGUCAUUUCGAAAACUCGCGUUUAACAUAAACAUAAAGGCAGCGUCGGCUUUUGUUAUUGUCGUGUUGGGACUGGUUUAGCUCUGCCGCUGAUUAGCUCGUCGUCUAAAUUAGCUAACAGGGUGCUAAGUGCUGUGUGUGUAAAUGUCGCGCCGCUCUAGCGUCAACUCUUGUAAAUGUUCGCUAAAGAUACACCCGCUAAUGUUUGAGUUCUCCGCAUAAGCAGGCGGGUGAACGCAGUCGGACAGCAAAUGGCUGAAAUGUCGUAAAAAUGACAGCGAGCCGUGUUGUGGCCUGCCACUCGACCACAGAUGUUACCUGCGCGCCCUGCUCUGUUAGCCACGUAAACUGGUUCUGAUCGGCGUUGACGUAGCAGCAGCAGCAGCGAACAACUCGCUCGCCUGUCAGUUGGGAGUGUGACGCUCCUUUACAAAUAAAGACAGAAGACCAAUACUUUCCUCAGGCACUGACAAACAUUAAAGAACUGAGCGAGCCAGAAUGCGAUAGCUGGAAGCGGACGUGCGGCUCUUUGCAUUUAGCGGAGGAUGAAGCGAGUCUUCUGGCUAUUAACAGGAUUAAACAGAAGAAUGGUGAAAUUACUUUUUGCCAUCGCCUUGGUUGCCUACAUUGCUUCCGUCUGGGGAACAUAUACAAACAUGAGAUCAAUAAAAGAAAACGGUGAGAUGAUUGAUCAGAAGAUUGAUGAAGCUGUGGCUCCCCUCCGCGAGAAGAUUCGUGACUUGGAGCAGAGUUUUUCUCAAAAAUACCCACCUGUGAAAUUUCUGUCAGAGAAGGAUCGAAAGAGAAUUCUGAUUACUGGUGGUGCGGGUUUCGUAGGUUCCCACCUGACUGACAAGCUGAUGAUGGAUGGCCACGAAGUGACUGUGGUGGACAACUUUUUCACCGGGAGAAAAAGGAAUGUGGAGCACUGGCUUGGCCAUGAAAACUUUGAGCUCAUCAAUCACGAUGUAGUGGAGCCCCUCUACAUUGAGGUGGAUCAGAUCUACCACCUGGCCUCUCCAGCCUCUCCUCCCAAUUACAUGUAUAACCCCAUCAAAACCCUUAAAACCAACACUAUCGGUACUCUCAACAUGCUUGGCUUGGCCAAACGAGUGGGCGCCAGGCUCCUCUUGGCUUCUACCUCUGAAGUUUAUGGAGACCCUGAGGUACACCCCCAAAAUGAAGAGUAUUGGGGCCACGUAAACCCAAUCGGGCCUCGGGCCUGCUACGACGAAGGGAAACGUGUCGCCGAAACCAUGUGUUACUCCUACAUGAAGCAGGAAGGAGUGGAGGUGAGAGUGGCGAGAAUCUUCAACACGUUCGGCUCCCGAAUGCACAUGAACGAUGGGAGAGUUGUCAGUAACUUCAUCCUGCAGGCUCUCCAGGGAGAACCACUCACUGUUUAUGGCACUGGUUCCCAAACGAGAGCCUUCCAGUAUGUAAGUGACCUGGUCAACGGCCUGGUGUUGUUGAUGAACAGUAACAUCAGCAGUCCAGUCAAUCUGGGGAACCCAGAGGAGCACACCAUAUUGGAGUUCGCUCAGCUCAUCAAAAGUCUAGUUGUGAGCAAAAGUCAGAUCCAAUUCCUUCCCGAGGCCCAGGAUGACCCACAGAGGAGGAGGCCUGACAUCCGAAAAGCCAAGAUGAUGUUGGGCUGGCAACCAGUGGUGCCCCUGGAGGAGGGCCUAAAGAAAACGGUCCAGUACUUCAGCAGGGAACUGGAGCACCAGGCCAACAAUCAGUACAUCCCCAAACCCAAAGCGGCCCGCAUGAAGAAAGGCCGACCGAGACACAUUUGAGCAGGACCUAUUUUUCAUUUUUGAAGCGUGUACAGAGGUGCAUUCUGGGAUAUUUAUUGCGAUAAGACUUUGAUUGUUGCCUUGAUAAGGAGUUGCAAGUUGCACUGUGAGGCCUCUCGCCUGAGCUUUUUAGGUUGGACAAGCCAAUUAUUUAAAACACAGCCUACAGCAUCUUUGUUUUCCAUUUCUUUUGCUUGUUUUUUGUUGUUGUUGUUGUUGUUAAUUUGUGCUUAAGCCAUAUAAAACUGUUGACGCGCUUUAGUGCUUAUGCGUUUUAUUUUAUUUUUUUUAAAUAGAUUUAUCAAAGAGGAGUCAUUCUCGUUUGGUGGCGAAGAAAAGACUUAUUGUGACGCCGUGCUUCACUGGGGGGGACAUCUCGUGUGAGGAUGUGCAUUAAUCAUAUCAGAGCUUGUGAAGCUUUUUGCCAUCGCCUGACACUUCUGCGAGGACGAAAGGAAACAGGUGAAGUCCGAACGAUUGCGGGCGUGCAGUCGAACCUCCAAAGCGGAACACAAUCCAUUCUGUGACGCAGGGUCACGGGCGUGCUGGAGCCUCACCCAGGCAGGGGACACCCUGAACUGGUCGCCAGCCAAUUGCAGGGCACAUAUAAAGAAAACAACCAUUCACACCAACGGGCAAUUUAGGGUCUUCAGUUAACCUACUAUGCAUGUUUUUAGGAUGUGAGAGGAAACCGGAGUGCCCGGAGAAAACCCACGCAGGCACGAGGAGAACAUGCAAACUCCACACAGGCGGGGCCGGAUUUGAAAGCCGAUCCUCAGAACCGUUUUACUUUCAAUUCGCCCGAGUGGAGGGAGAAUAGAAAAUACUGCCUUACAUGAAUGAUUUGGCUCCACCACACACUAUUGUAGUGCUUUGCAACAACAAUCCAUUACCUUUAAAAAAAAAAGAAAACAAAUCGUACUAAAAGAUUCCUCAACAUGCUGAGACGUGCAACACAAACCACAACACAAUGAAAAGGCGACAAGGCCAGAGGGUAAUCCUUGUGCAGCGGUUUGAGGCCCAAAACGGUUUGCUAGUGAAUGUUGAUUAGCUGUCAUAGAAAAGAAUGUUGGGACUUACCUGUUAGAGCCAAGAAUGUCAGCAGUGCAGCGAACCCCAAGACCCUCAAAGUCAACAGCUGGGACGCCAUCUUUUCCCCCAGUUCAGACGAGCGAAAGAAACUCUUGCACGGAGCAACAACUGCAGAUUGACAACCAGAGGGGAGAAGGAGGCGCCGCUCCACACUCGCUCGCUGACUUCCCCAAGUUGGAAAGCGGCCCGUGGCGGUGGAACGUCACCUGAGGAAACGAGACUGCAGCUGGAAGUCUCGAUUGGUGCCUCGGGUAUACUUCUCCAGCAGUAGUGGAAAAAGAGAAGAGAAGAGAAGAGGAGAGGAGAGGAGAGAAGCUUUCCCCUGGACUUGCUUUCUUUUGAUCCAUCUUUGAUACAUAUAUACACAUACAUGCUUAUACAUAUUAUUUGAUAUAUAUUAUAAUGCUUUUAUAUAUACAUAUAAACACUAUGCACUACUGGCUUUUAAUCUUUAAGAUUGCGAGGCAUUGCUGUUGUGUGUGUGGAAAUGGAAUGCAGGCCGUAGCCAGAUGUUGGCAGACAUUUGCAGCAAAUUCCCCCGACAGACGGCAGCUCAAGUCAACAAAUGCUUUCUAAAAAAAAAAGAAAAAAAAAGUGGAUUCAGUGCGUCCCUAGUUUCAAGCAAAGCUUCGGGUUUCCCACCUGCUAUGAACGAAAACAGGGCGAGAGAAGUGAGCGUUGGGUGUUAAACUUGGCACACCUGCCCCUGCAUGAUGGCAUCCCCUUACGUCACCCCGCCUCUGAUGGUACAGUGGAGUACAGUAGCUACAACCUCAUAAGGCAGACGUUUGUUAUCGUGAACACACUAGGGUGCCCUUUUAUUUGACUGGAGCUCGAGGCUAGGACAGACUGAGCAGAAAAACGAGGUCAAACUCCCGCCGUCCUGCAGCACGAGCUGCUCCUGCAGAUGGAAAAUCAGCCCAAAACACAGCACACAGACCCUGAAGGGAAACAGAUGCGCAUUAAGGGAUCUCUCCCCGCUUUGACCUGUGAAAACGGGGUCAUCAAAAGCCUGAGUGCGCCGCAGUUGCCCUGAGUGGAGGGGGGGGGGGGGGGAAGGGGCCGGGGGACGGGCAGGCCCCCACCCCCCAGGGGUGGAUCCUGUGGCUGAAAGACUACUUUUCAGGGGGGAGACUGCAUUUCAUCCACAAUAAGGGAAAUACAUUUAAAAAAUCACUCUUUAUCACACUUUUUCCACAUGUGAAAAUAUAUUUUUAGCUUUCUUUGGAAUCUUUUUUUUCCUAUCGAUUUCUUUUCCAAAGCAGACUCUUAGUCUUUGCCUUUGAUCCUGGACACCCACUUUUUGACUGCUGUUGCCUAUUGUAGCUUCCCCGUACACGGCCAACAAUGAUGUCAUUUCCUAAAUGGCUAACAGGGAGAGGACAGGCUUAAAGAAAACCUUUAUUUCAAAUCAAUCUUCAACCAUGACCGCUUAUUAAUUCGUUUGUCGCCAUGGCACAAGUCACAAAGCACUGCAUGAGCCAUUUGCGUGAUUAGCUGGAUGAGAUCAAUCAGCGUUUCUGCGAGAUUGCCCGAGGUAAACUCGCUUAGCUGUUGGUGCUGCCUUUUUGGAGAAAUGUCCACAUGUUUUUGUUGUUUACUAAUGUUCUAAUCGGAGCACAUCAAUCCCACUUGAAGAAGACCAAAGUCCUUUCAAUGUUUCCGACAUUGCUUUGUACUCUGUGUAAUGUUCAUGUAUGAACAGCAACAUGACUGCCACCUGGUGGGAGUUUGACAAUACUGCACUUGACGAGCACAGAUGAUUUAUUAUUUGUAUUCAUUCAUUCAUCUUCCGUUCCGCUUCUCCACACGCGGGUCGCGGACGUGCCGGAGCAUCCCAGGCAUCCCAGCCAUCUUCGGGCGAGAGGCGGGGUACACCCUGAACUGGUCGCCAGCCAAUUGCAGCUAUUAUUAUUCUUUCACGCACUGACAAAUAUGCAUAUUUUUUAAGUCAAUUAGUGAUAUGGAAGGCUCCCGGAUGUAGCAGAUGUGCGAACCUUUCGGCCACCGUCCGCCAUGCAAAGGAUGCGUCCAGAUAUGCGAGAGGCUGCUCGGAAGGAUAACCCAUUCAUUGACCGCACGAACAUUUCCGCAACAGAAAGACGCUCCAUUACGCUUCACUUCUCAGCCACAGUGGCGUUCGCUUGUGCUGCACAGGGUGUGGCUGGCUUGACGUCCUUUGUGCGAGGCAGAAACAAAAACAGCUCGGAGCCACUCGGGAACCGCUGCAUCGUGCCGAAGCGGGUUUCAACCCUCUCGGCAUCAGAGUGCGCUUAGGUCGUCAUGGCGACAAGAAAAAGGCAGGUCAGCAUUCCUCAGGGAAAAGAAAAGAAAAGAA